Molecule: ribosomal RNA, 775 nt
Filed under: uncultured Neocallimastigales
Lineage: Eukaryota; Fungi; Neocallimastigomycota; Neocallimastigomycetes; Neocallimastigales
Description: partial large subunit ribosomal RNA
Rfam family: Eukaryotic large subunit ribosomal RNA
Source: RNAcentral
UAUGUGAUCGUCUCUCGCAUAUCAAUAAGCGGAGGAAAAGAAACUAACAAGGAUUCCCCUAGUAACGGCGAGUGAAGCGGGAAGAGCUCAAAUUUGAAAUCUUAAAGGGUUUCCCUUUACGAAUUGUAGUUUAAAGAAGUGUUUUCUGUUGAGGUUUUGGUAAAAGUUCUUUGGAAUAGGACAUCAUAGAGGGUGAGAAUCCCGUAUUUGACCUUUACUUUCAACUUUGUGAUACACCUUCAAAGAGUCGGAUUGUUUGGGAAUGCAGUCCAAAAUGGGUGGUAAAUUUCAUCUAAAGCUAAAUAUUGGCGAGAGACCGAUAGCGAACAAGUACCGUGAGGGAAAGAUGAAAAGAACUUUGAAAAGAGAGUUAAACAGUACGUGAAAUUGUCAAAAGGGAAGCGUUUGACACCAGUGUUGUUUUUCUGAAAAUCAAUUAAAGAACUGUUUAUGCUAAGCUGUUUAGACUUUAUCAGCUAAUCUGUUUAGUUUUGAGCUUUUCUUUAAUGCACUUUUCAGUUAACAAGUCAACAUCAAUUUCUUUUGCUGUAAAAAAGCUUGAGGAAGGUGGCUUGAGAUUCGUCUUAAGUGUUUAUAGCCUCUUGCCUAUGCAGUCGGAGAGAUUGAGGUCUGCAGCGUAGAUCCUUCGGGGCUAAAUGCAUUUGUGCUAAGUUAUAGCAUUUUAUAGACAACUUGUUGACUAUGAUUUGUCUUGUAGCUUACUCGCUUAUGUUAUUUUACCUACGCUUAGGAUGUUGAUAUGCAUGACUGAUAU